Molecule: long non-coding RNA, 653 nt
Filed under: Homo sapiens (human)
Lineage: Eukaryota; Metazoa; Chordata; Mammalia; Primates; Hominidae
Description: HSALNT0244553
Source: RNAcentral
UGUGAUUACACUUUUAUUCUCUUCCUUGGAAGAAACAACAACAAUGACAACCUCCAUAACUAAUGCUUCUGGUCUAAAAAACCUUCUCCCUAAAGGACAUGUUUUCACCCACUACCAAUGAUCUCAACAAAUUUCUGGAUAGAAAGGACCUAUAGACAGAGAGAUGUACUUGCCGGAUUUUUUCAUCAACUGAAGAACAGGGGCAUCUGCUGCCACAGAGAGGAGAAGUUGCUCUUUUGCCUUUGGCCAUGGAUGUAUCAGGGUGGCUGUGUAUUCGCCUGGAGAGCCCACAGAUGCCACUGACACAGCAGCUGCUCUGACAAUAGCCCAUCAAUGGUACGCUGUUCUCUUUCUCCCCUCUCCUCCUCCUUCCUGCUAUCCACACACAAAUUCUUCAAGGAAACCCUCUACUAUGCUUCUUGACAACAGGGCUGAAAUAUCUGGAGUAGCAGAUACCUUAGAAGGGCCAUCUUGGAGACUUUUGAAUGCAAUUGAUGGUAUUAGAAGUUCUGAUGAAGAACUAACUUAAAUGGAAAAGGUAGACAUCCAGAGAAAAGUAGACAUUUAGAAAUAGCAUAAUUGGAAGAUUUUUAUUUUAAAAAUCCAUUCUUAAAGCCGGGCACGGUGGCUCACGCCUGCAAUCCCAGCACUUU